This 3049-nucleotide long non-coding RNA is filed under the name Sarcophilus harrisii (Tasmanian devil). Its description in RNAcentral is "lncRNA (ENSSHAG00000029188.1)". The record is from RNAcentral. Lineage: Eukaryota; Metazoa; Chordata; Mammalia; Dasyuromorphia; Dasyuridae.
CUGCCAUGAUUUAUGAUACACACACACACACGCACACACACACACACACACACACACACACACACACACACACCCCUAGUAGGCAUAUAGACUUAGAUUUGGAAGAUGUACUGAAUUGACAGUACAUUCCUUUUCAGCAAAACUCUUCUUUUCCUUAACUCUGCAAACCAGAAACACAACAAAUUGUGCAUUAGAAAUGCAGCAUUCCAAAAUCAAACUGUGCAUACCCUUUGACACAGCAGCGCUACUACUGGACUUAUACCCCAAAGAGAUACUAAAGAAGGGAAAGGGACCUAUAUGUGCCAAAAUGUUUGUAGUGGCUAGAAACUGGAAAAUGAAUGGAUGCCCAUCAAUUGAAAAAUGGUUGGGUAAAUUGUGAUAUAUGAAUGUUAUAGAAUAUUAUUGUUCUGUAAGAUACGACCAGCAGGAUGAAUACAGAGAGGAUUGGAGAGAAUAACAUGAACUGAUGCUAAGUGAAAUGAGCAGAACCAGGAGAUCAUUAUAUACGUCAACAAUGAUACUGUAUGAGGUUGUAUUCUGAUGGAAGUGGAUUUCUUUGACAAAGAGACCUAAUUCAGUUUCAAUUGAUCAAUGAUGGACAGACGCAGCUACACCCAAAGAAAGAACACUGGAAAAUGAAUGUAAACUGUUUGCAUUUUUGUUUUUCUUCCCGGGUUAUUUUUAUCUUCUGAAUCCAAUUCUCCCUGUGCAACAAGAGAACUGUUCAGUUCUGCACACAUAGAUUGUAUCAAGGAUAUAUUGUGACAUAUUUAACAUAUAUAGGACUGCUUGCCAUCUGGGGGAGGGGGUGGAGGGAGGGAAGGGAAAAAUCGGAACAGAAGUGAGUGCAAGGGAUAAUGUUGUAAAAAAUUAUCCUGGCAUGGGUUCUGGCAAUAAAAAAGUUAUUAUAAAAAGUCAAAUACUAUUUCAGAUGGAUCAAUUAUGACUUACAAAUAGGGAGCCUAAAAGAGUAGGCAAUAUUAAGUCCAAGUCCCUCAGAUUUCAAGAAUAUAUUUAACUCUCAUCAGAACUUUAAAGGUUUGAUAUAGCGAAAACAGUGAAAAAUAUACAGACUUCAAGAUCAGCUCAUGUGGUUUUCAUACCAGCAUUACUGAUAAUUAGCUAUGUGACCUUCAGCAAGUUAUUUUUUAAAAAGAUAUUGAGUUUUAAGCACGUAUAUCUGUGACAUUUUUUGUGCCUCCAGAUAUAUAAACUGGGAUCACAUUUGUUAAGAGAUGUACUGCUAUUUUAUUAUCUCAUGUGGAUAUGUGUAUAUGUAUAAAUACAUAUAUAUAUAUAUAUAUAUAUAUAAUAUAUAUGUAUAUGCUCGGUAUGUCUAUGUCUAUUUAUAGUUAGAGAUAUUUUCUUUUUUCCCUUCAACAUGAAAAAGAUAAAAUAGAUCUCUAUUCAUUUUUUAAAUGGAGAGAUUGGGGUACAAGAGAUGUAAAAUAUUAUAUCACUUUCAGAUGAGAUCACUUAUUUAAAUGCUUAUUCUGUUACAAGAUAUUACUCAUGUGAAGGAAAUAAUUUGAAAAUGUUUGUAAUGUAAAAACAAUUUCACCUCUUCUUUUACUAUAGCUUGCCCUUUCUCUUUUAUUUGUUCUUCUUAUAUUGCUUUGCUUUUUUUUUUCAAUUAUCUAUGCUCUAUAGAGAAAAAGCUGAGGGUAAGGGUAGACUAAUCAUAUCAAAAACUAGGUUUCAUACAUACCUGAACUAGCAUUGGCUUUAUGAAAGACAAGGCACAUAAAUAUACAACCCAUUUAUAAAUACCUAGAAAAGGAAUAAUGAAUACAGAUUUAAAUAAUGAGUUUGUAGAAAAAAUAUUUUUACUCAUUUAGGAAAGGAAAAAAAUGGUAGAAUGCUAAUUCUGGUAAGUCUGCAAUGUUUCAGUGAAUCUUGGAUCUCACCAAGGUUUUUUUUUUUUUAGGGUAUUUCCUCUAUCAUUCAUAUCAUAAUCUAUCCAUAACUCUUUAUCCAUGUUCUCCUAUAAAUGCUCUAUAGAUAAUCUUUCCAACAGUGUCAACUUUCACUUCAGUCUUUCAAAAUUUCAGAGUCACCAGUCCAUCAUUUAGGCUAUCAUAUUGGCUCUCUUCUGAUAAUACACUUUCUCUAUAAUAUCCCUUUUUUCUUUAUUUUUUUAAAUAACUUUUUAUUGCCAGAACCCAUGUCAGGGUAAUUUUUACAACAUUAUCCCUUGCACUCACUUCUGUUCCCAUUUUUCCCCUCCCAUCCUCCACCUCCUCCCCCAGAUGGCAAGCAGUCCUAUACAUGUUAAAUAGGUUACAGUAGAUCUUGGAUACAAUAUAUGUGUGCAGAACCGAACAGUUCUCUUGUUGCUCAGGGAGAAUUGGAUUUAGAAGAUAUAAAUAACCCGGGAAGAAGAACAAAAAUGCAAGCAGUUUACAUUCAUUUCCCAGUGUUCUUUCUUUGUGUGUAGCUGCUUCUGUCCAUCCUUGAUCAAUUGAAACUAAGUUAGAUCUUUUUGUUGAAGAAAUCCACUUCCAUUAGAAUACAUCCUCAUAAAGUAUCGUUGUUGAGGUAUAUAAUGAUCUCCUGGUUCUGCUCAUUUCACUUAGCAUCAGUUCAUGUAAUUCUCUCUAAUCCUCUCUGUAUUCAUCCUUCCAGUCGCUUCUUACAGAACAAUAAUAUUCCAUAACAUUCAUAUACCACAAUUUACCCAACCAUUCUCCAAUUGAUGGGCAUCCAUUCAUUUUCCAGCUUCUAGACACUACAAACAGAGCUGCCACAAACAUUUUGGCACAUACAGGUCCCUUUCCCUUCUUUAGUAUCUCUUUGGGGUAUAAGCCCAAUAGAAACACUGCUGGCUCCAAGGGUAUGCACAGUUUGAUAACUUUUUGAGCAUAGUUCAAAAUCACUCUCUAGAAUGACUGGAUGUGUUCACAAUUCCACCAACAAUGUAUCAGUGUCCCUGUUUUCCCACAUCCCCUCCAGCAUUCCGCAUUAUCUUUCCCUGUCAUUCUAACAUCCCUUUUUUCCACUUUUGAAUAAAAUGAUGAGUGGAAAUAGGAUACUACUUAUUUGAUCCUAC